Molecule: ribosomal RNA, 530 nt
Filed under: uncultured bacterium
Lineage: Bacteria
Description: bacterial SSU rRNA
Rfam family: Bacterial small subunit ribosomal RNA
Source: RNAcentral
AAUAGAUACCCUGGUAGUCCACGCCGUAAACGUUGGGCGCUAGGUGUGGGGCUCAUUCCACGAGUUCCGUGCCGCAGCUAACGCAUUAAGCGCCCGCCUGGGGAGUACGGCCGCAAGGCUAAAACUCAAAGGAAUUGGACGGGGGCCCGCACAAGCGGCGGAGCAUGUUGCUUAAUUCGAUGCAACGCGAAGAACCUUACCUAGGCUUGACAUGCACGGAAAUCCUCCAGAGAUGGUGGGUCCGUAAGGGCCGUGCACAGGUGGUGCAUGGUUGUCGUCAGCUCGUGUCGUGAGAUGUUGGGUUAAGUCCCGCAACGAGCGCAACCCCGUUCUAUGUUGCCAGCACGUCAUGGUGGGGACUCAUAGGAGACUGCCGGGGUCAACUCGGAGGAAGGUGGGGAUGACGUCAAAUCAUCAUGCCCCUUAUGUCUAGGGCUGCAAACAUGCUACAAUGGCCGGUACAAAGGGCUGCGAUACCGCGAGGUGGAGCGAAUCCCAAAAAGCCGGUCUCAGUUCGGAUUGGGGUCUGA